This is a long non-coding RNA of Mus musculus (house mouse), 1264 nucleotides long. RefSeq annotates it as predicted gene, 35745. The record is from RefSeq and is a predicted model, not a curated record. The transcript is spliced from 3 exons. Lineage: Eukaryota; Metazoa; Chordata; Mammalia; Rodentia; Muridae.
AGUUUGAGAUAUCCUGCUCACUGUUGCCCUGGUCUGCAUUCGCCUGCCAGAGAAGGACACAAAAGGCCUUCAACAGCUGCUUCCCUCCACAUCUGGAGAUUUGAGCUCUUUAACACCCCUCCCUUUCACAGUGGUGGCUGCACUUCUCAGCUGCCUCCACUGCCUUCUGUUGAAUAACUCCAGGCAAUGGUCUCCUGGAGGCCCUGAGUCAGUCUUUUCGAGAGCAUUUCUCUAAGUUUCCCACACUGCUGCAGGACAGUCACUGAGCUCCGUGACAAGGACCCCAUCUGUUUCCACUGUAUGGAUGUCAUCAUUGGGAACCACAGUCUCCUGUGGAAGCCAGGAGUGAAAAGACUUCUCUAAAGCUCAACCAGGGAUCAAGGCAUUUCACGCAGACACCUCUGUCCUCAACCACCCAGGCAGGUGUCCUGGACUGCCCAGGAACAGAUGGGAUCCCACAUCCCUCAAUCAUGAUCAGAGUCCAUCAGAGACCCAGAGCAGAGGUGUCCAGCAGAGACAAAGGUGGGGGCUCUCAGCCCAGCCCCUGGGGAGGAAGCAAUGGGAAGGGCUCUCAGCCCAGUGGGCUGGGCUGGGCUGGGUCACUGGCUCCUGGGGCUCGGAUGCUGGACGCAGGGGAAAGUUCCAGAAGAGAUUUAUUCUGCUGCAUUGCUGAGGGUGGAUCAUCCCUCACAAGGCUGUGUGUGUAAAAGCUCCGGCCUGUUGAUUGGUCUGUCAGGGUGAUUUGUGGCUCCCCCUGAGGUAAUGGGGAGCAGGGGGGCUGGUGAGAGGCAGCCGGACAGAUUGCUCAACAGAGUGGCCACCCUGAGAUUUAUUGACCUUGAUCCACAAUGUCCCUUCAGUGCUUUUAAUCUGCCUUUUCUGUUGUCACUGGCUGUGGUAACACCCCCACCAGGGGCCUUGAGGCUUGGAGGGACAGGGACAUCCUGAGGGCUGCACCAUCUGUCCCUGGGGCUCUUGUCUCAGAAGAGGACAGAGGGCCUAUCCUCUGUGGGCCUGGGUUGUUGCUUUUUAAAAACAGCUUUAGGACUGGGGAGAUGGCUCAGUGGAUAAAGUGCUUGCUGGGCAAGCACGAGGACCUGAGUUCAAAUCCCUGUGGCUUAAGAAGGUAUGGUGGUUGCUUAAAAUGCUAGCAUAUCUUGAGAGGCAGAGGUGUGGGUCCCCUGGAGAAAUCUGGCUAUACAGACUAUAGACUAGCUAGAAUUGGUGAGCUUGAGGUUCGACAAGAGGCCCUGUCUCAAUAAAC